GUGAGGAAUUUUCCGUAAUGGGCGAAAGCCUGACGGAGCAAUGCCGCGUGAAGGAUGAAGGCCUAUGGGUUGUAAACUUCUUUUCUCAGAAAAGAAUUAUGACGGUAUCUGAGGAAUAAGCAUCGGCUAACUCUGUGCCAGCAGCCGCGGUAAGACAGAGGAUGCAAGCGUUAUCCGGAAUGAUUGGGCGUAAAGCGUCUGUAGGUUGUUUAAAAAGUAUUCUGUAAAAGAUUAGGGCUUAACCCUAGAUAGGCUGAAUAAACUUUUAAGCUAGAGUUUGGUAGAGGCAGAGGGAAUUCCCGGUGGAGCGGUGAAAUGCGUAGAUAUCGGGAGGAACACCAAAGGCGAAGGCACUCUGCUGGGCCAAUACUAACACUGAGAGACGAAAGCGAGGGGAGCAAAUGGGAUUAGAAACCCCAGUAGUCC
Molecule: ribosomal RNA, 426 nt
Filed under: uncultured bacterium
Lineage: Bacteria
Description: partial 16S ribosomal RNA
Rfam family: Bacterial small subunit ribosomal RNA
Source: RNAcentral